This is a regulatory RNA element of Clostridium argentinense CDC 2741, 111 nucleotides long. It matches the Rfam family "SAM riboswitch aptamer (S box leader)". Rfam says of the family: The SAM riboswitch is found upstream of a number of genes which code for proteins involved in methionine or cysteine biosynthesis in Gram-positive bacteria. The SAM riboswitch acts at the level of transcription termination control. Lineage: Bacteria; Bacillati; Bacillota; Clostridia; Eubacteriales; Clostridiaceae. The record is from Rfam.
AACUUAUCCAGAGUGGUGGAGGGACUGGCCCGAUGAUACCCGACAACCAGCAUUCUCAUUCGAAUGUAGUGGUGUCAAUUCCUGCAGAUUGUAAAAUCUGAGAGAUAAGGA